GGACUCGCGCGCUGGGUCCAGUGGUUCUUAACAGUUCAACAGUUCUGUAGCGCAAUUGUGAAAUGUUUAGGACCACUAGACCCGGCGGGC
This 90-nucleotide microRNA precursor is filed under the name Prolemur simus (greater bamboo lemur). RNAcentral's name for it is "microRNA 203b (ENSPSMG00000011940.1)". The stretch from base 7 to 86 matches the Rfam family "mir-203 microRNA precursor family". Lineage: Eukaryota; Metazoa; Chordata; Mammalia; Primates; Lemuridae. The record is from RNAcentral.